UUUUUGCGUAAGCGAUUGAAAUGGCAUCCUUUUUAUUACUUUAUUAAAUAGGCGUCAUUACGAGUGCAACGAAGUAAUCUCUUUCUAAUGAUGAGAUUGCCACAGUUUAUAAAAAAAUAAACUUCGCAAUGACUCUAAUAAAAAGAUAUAAUGGAAAGCGCGGUUUUGU
This 169-nucleotide small RNA is filed under the name Polaribacter sp. SA4-12. RNAcentral describes it as "Flavo-1 RNA". It matches the Rfam family "Flavo-1 RNA". Lineage: Bacteria; Pseudomonadati; Bacteroidota; Flavobacteriia; Flavobacteriales; Flavobacteriaceae. The record is from Rfam by way of RNAcentral.